UGUGGAGAGCUUUUGGGACCCGGAGCACUGGCUCCGGGAGAGGGGCCAUGAUGGGAUGCAGCUGGUAAGGAGAUAGGGCCCUGCUCAUUAAACCAGGCAAGGUCGUGCUGCCCUCAGGAGCAAGGAAGUGAUAAGAACAUGCUGCAAUUAAGAAAAUUGAGUGGUAUGUGGUAAACAAUCGGGCAUUCAUCACGGGACUGUCACGGUAUCUAGCGUUGAUGGUUACUUUCUCACGUAAAGAACUAACCAAUAAGAGAACCCAAUUUGGCAUAUGUAGUAGCUCAUUAACUAUCGUAUAAAUGCCUGCGUGUGCUUCAAUAAAGCUGAGACUUGUUGAUCAUGAAAGCAUGAGACUUGUCUCCCGCUGAUUUCCUACAGU
This 379-nucleotide long non-coding RNA is filed under the name Gallus gallus (chicken). Lineage: Eukaryota; Metazoa; Chordata; Aves; Galliformes; Phasianidae. The record is from RNAcentral.